UUGACACAAGAUUUUCGUUUCAAUACAAACUUACCAAUUGUGUCAUAACGAUUUUAAAAUAAAUUGGAAUUUUGAAUUCACUGUUCUUUCGAUUAUGAUCUUUAAAGAACCGAUUAUAAUCACAAACCUUUAAUCCCCUCCGGCCACAGUCGUUGUUACCAUACAAACUUUCAUCCCCUUACCGCCGCACUACCGUCGCAUUACACCGUGGGGUUUUUUUUUCGCCGGAGUAUUCUGUCGCGCCACACUUCUUUCAGCCACUGUCAGAUUUUCCCUCCGAGUUCUUUGACCCGUUCCGGUGCAACCACAGCCAUCGCCACACCCUCCGAGCAGGAUCGUCGUUGUGAAGUAGACUUAACAUUCUGUCCGAGUCUGUCUGAACAUUCACAAUCUAGCAGCCCGCGACCAUUGGUGCCGUUGCUUGGUUACGUUCGGUCGUUAGAAAGUUGAGUUGUUGGCCUCCGAUUGGUUCUGUUCGACUAGUAAGGUGUGAAACGUAUGAUUUAUGAGUGUUUGCAUAAGGUUUGAAGAGGACCCCAUUUGUGGAAUUUUGUUUUGCUUGCUUGGUUAAGGUACGGAUUCUCGUUUUUGACAUCGUAGUAUUUUUUUAUUUUUUUAUUUGUUGUCUUCGUCACUCUUUGGUACGUAUUCUUUCGUUCUCUCAUGUUGGUACAUUUUUAUUAUCAUGUCCGUUACUUUGUAGUACGGACUUUUCUGUUUCCGUUAGUUGUCCCAUGUUCGUAUCAUACAUCUGAUAAGUUGGUUUCAGCAUGCACUAUACCUUAGUAAUUGUUAUCAUUGUUGUAUGUUCUCUUUAGCUCUAAUUUUUGUACUCUGUCACCCGAGCAUGUUUGGUUUGGUUUGGUUUGGUUUGGUUUGGUUCGGUUUGGUUUGGUUUGUAGAGAUGGAACAAUGGGUGCACGCCGCACUCACCGUCUCAUAGGUGCAUGGAUUAGCUAGUUGUGUAUCUGUUUGGUUGUUUAGGCUCGUGGGUGCUUCCGUCUCACGUGACUUGGUUUGUUGUUAUCUGUAGUCACGUAGUCUGAUAUCUGUUUCUGAUCUGAUAUGUUUAUAAUAUUGUCUGGUAUGCUUUGUAUGUCCGAUUAUGUUCAGUAUUUGUUCAAGUAUCAGUUUUGGUUUUGUGUUCAAAAAAAAAUUCUUAUUUCUUCUUUAUGUCCUUUCUUCAUUUGUACUAUUUGAUUUUUCCGUUACUGGGCAACCUUUGGCUCAGCCGUAGUUUUCUUUGUUGUGUUUUCUUAUUUGUUGACAGGUAAUCCGGGAAACGUUGGGAACUAGGGAUGAUUGAGAGUAAUGCGGUUCGAGAAUAAAGACUUUUAUUUAUUUCAACUUUGUGAAUUAAUUAAUACUUAGGAUUCUUGGUUUGUUUUUGAAACCUUUGGUUAUCUUUUGGAUCCUAUUUUUUUUCCUU
RNAcentral lists this long non-coding RNA (1429 nucleotides) under Helianthus annuus (common sunflower). RNAcentral describes it as "hypothetical non coding rna". The record is from RNAcentral. Lineage: Eukaryota; Viridiplantae; Streptophyta; Magnoliopsida; Asterales; Asteraceae.